UACGUAGGGUGCAAGCGUUGUCCGGAAUUAUUGGGCGUAAAGAGCUCGUAGGCGGUCUGUCGCGUCGGCUGUGAAAUCCCGAGGCUCAACCUCGGGUCUGCAGUCGAUACGGGCAAACUAGAGUAUUGCAGGGGAGACUAGAAUUCCUGGUGUAGCGGUGAAAUGCGCAGAUAUCAGGAGGAACACCGAUGGCGAAGGCAGGUCUCUGGGCCACUACUGACGCUGAGAAGCGAAAGCGUGGGGAGCGAACAGG
This 253-nucleotide ribosomal RNA is filed under the name uncultured bacterium. RNAcentral describes it as "partial 16S ribosomal RNA". It matches the Rfam family "Bacterial small subunit ribosomal RNA", at positions 524 to 776 of the family's 1533-position model. The record is from RNAcentral.